Molecule: small RNA, 2115 nt
Filed under: Rattus norvegicus (Norway rat)
Lineage: Eukaryota; Metazoa; Chordata; Mammalia; Rodentia; Muridae
Description: uncharacterized LOC108352133
Source: RNAcentral
ACUACCACCACCACCAUUACUAUUUUGCCCAGAGAGACUAGUACCACAUAUGUAGCCUUCAGGAAGAUGUAUUUGUAAUAUAUUUGUGACAAGAUUCCCUUGAUCUCAGCUAUGAAAACACAAACUCAGUGAAUUCUUGACCACCAAAUGCUUCUGCUUAAGAUGUUUCCAUAGUAUUAAGGCUGUCAGCCGAAGACUCACUAGAUAUUUACUUAAGUUUUAUUUACAUUAGAAUGACUCGUUUGAGGUGUUUGAACAAUUGUGCAUGCAGGACCUUAGGAUUAGAGAAAGGACUCACAUUUGAUGUAUACGACGAUCUCUGGGGGGAAAUGGUGUCAAUUUCUCACUGUCUAAAGGUAGAGUAGUGGUUUUGUGCCGAGUAUUGGUACAGAGUACAGCUGUUGUGUUUCUUUGGCCUGGCUUCCUUCCCGAUCAGGCCACAUGACUGGACAGUCACUCUGCCCUUGUGCUUCGGUCCCAGUGUUUUUACAAUAAGGUUUUUGUAUUAGAAGCAGGUGACCUCAGAGAUGCCUGCUUUUAAGGUUUUGCAAUGCAGCUGGAGAGGCAGAACCUGUGGUAUUUGUAUAGCUAAUUCCUUUAUUUGGAGAGGGUUUUUCUUAGGGGAAAGCUCUUCCUUAAAACAAAGGUGCCUUUUCAAACUCUAGUCCUAUUUAAAGCUCCACCGAUGAUUUGGAAUUUGGUCCCUUGAAUGAACAAUACGGCUUUCACAAGUGGGGGGACGAUGAAUCUAAAUCUCAAAGAGCCAGUGUGGGGUCACCCGCUAGCUGGGUGAGGACAUCAGAGACUCAGUUCCUUUACCCACAACAAUAAUAAUGGUUACUGACCACUGGCACCGACAAUUUAUCAGAGUCAGAAGAUAGUAAAUGUGAUAAUAUUGCAUGCAUACCUGGCCUGCAACAGGCACUGUGAAAGGUUCAUUGAACUUUGCCCUGGAAGUGGAAACUGCAGGUAUUUCCUUGCUUCUUGUCCACAGUGCUGCUUUAUGGCGUUUUCUUUUUCUUUUGUACAAACCAGCCUUCUCCCUUCUAGGUUUCUUAUUCUCAUGAUUAUUUGAUCACACAAAAGUAGCUCCGCCCCUAUAGCUCCACCCCCCAAAGCAAGUAGCUCCGCCCCCAUAGCUCCACCCCCAAAGCGCGGGGCUCUGUGGUAAGCCCUUCUUUCUUGUGCACUGAGUGACUGUAUUCAUCCAUGCUGACCGAGAGCCCCCAUCCUGAGCAGCCUUGCAGUGCGAACGCCAGAAACGGAGAGGUUGCUCCUGUGAGGUCCCUGGUCACAUCGAUACUGAAAUCCCUGACUCAGCAAGAGAGUAAACAACUGAGUGACUAGUAGGAAGUCGCAUUCUGACGUACACACAAAGCUCUUCGUCACUGGCUUUUGACUCAAGUUUGUGGUAGUCUCUGGGUUCCGUUGACAUGAACCCAGCCUCCGGAAGGAGGAAAACACGACCCUGCCUCCAGCGAGUACAAGGCCCAGGCUGCACUCUUAAAUUCUUUCACAAGAAUCUGAAUGGAAUUGAUCCAUCCCCAGUCACUCCAGGAGGUUGAGCGUUCAGUUCACUGCUGUCCUUGAACUCAGAAGUCCUUCUUCCUCAACCUCCCACGAGCUGGGAUCCAGCAUGGGCAGGAAAAGAUGCAAUGGAGAGGCUGAGCCAAUACGAAUGAGGGGCUGACAGGAGCUACUUUACAUAUUUCAUUGAGAAAUUAACAACAGAAGAGGCUCUUCCUGGAGACUUGCAUUCCACUGCUCUGUGUAAGCCACUGCUCUUCUGGAGGAAGCAUUCGGCUGAGCUGUGAGUCCAGCAAGGCAAAUGUCUUUGAUGGCACUGCGGAUUUCUGCUACCUGAGCCUCCAGGUUAUGGAUCAGACUCUGGAUUUGGGCCAGCAGGGCUGUGUAUCGGGCCUCUGUCUCUGCUAGGAUGCAUUCCUGGGAAUCUCUCUGUGGAAGAGGAGGGAAACAGAUUCUAAGAUGACUCCUUUAAAAUUCCCAGAAGGCCAUUGUAAAAGACAUUUUAAACAAUAACUUCUCUGUGACAGUACUAAGAGUUCUCUAAGUCCUUUAUUACUUCCUAACCAAAUAAACCCAAAACAAAAAUGA